GGGGGAUGUUUUAACAUGUAUGCUGAACUAUUGAACUGAUAAUCAUUUUUCAGAGUGUUCCUGUUUGCUUGAGAACAGCUGAACUUCUAGAUUUAGGUUGGCAACUCCACAGUGGAUCUAAAACCUGGAUGUUGACGUAUUCUCCAGCAGCUAUGAUAUCUGGUAUUUUCACAGUCCCUUGAAACUCUGAAUCCAAUCAUCUCUGCAGCAGAAGAAAGGUAAUUGAAACAUUAGGCACAGCUUGGUCCCCAUGGGAAUGAACAAUCAAAAGAUAGGCAGC
RNAcentral lists this long non-coding RNA (280 nucleotides) under Anser brachyrhynchus (Pink-footed goose). Its description in RNAcentral is "lncRNA (ENSABRG00000012528.1)". Lineage: Eukaryota; Metazoa; Chordata; Aves; Anseriformes; Anatidae. The record is from RNAcentral.